Molecule: small RNA, 150 nt
Filed under: uncultured Eisenbergiella sp.
Lineage: Bacteria; Bacillati; Bacillota; Clostridia; Lachnospirales; Lachnospiraceae
Description: Clostridiales-1 RNA
Rfam family: Clostridiales-1 RNA
Source: RNAcentral
GAUACCAGGGGCAAAAGGUCAUACUUUUCAUGCUUGUAUGAAAAAGUAUGACUUUGAGACCCGUAAAAACAUGAGAAAGUAGUCCGAUAGGACGGAUUUCGAAUGUUUUAGGAUUUCGGGAGCACGUAGUGCGGAGAAAUCCGUGGCAUC